GCUAGCACCAGACAAAGUUAAAUUGUCUCAAAGAAUCGUCACGGAGCGGAUAACUGACAUGGCAUAAGAUAUCGGAAAAACAUUUAAGGACUCCGCAAGAAAUUUUGAGUUUUUCUCUUUGGCAUGUGAUGAAAGAAAUGACAUAACAAAUACCGCCCAAUUUGCCAUUUUUGUGUGUGGGAUUACCGCUGAGUUUGACACAAGGGAGGAAUUGCUGUCUUUGGAAGCCAUGCAUGGCACCAUCAGAGGUGAUGACUUGUUUGAGAGACUUGUCUCGACUAUGAGUAAAUUUGAGCUACGGUUUGAAAAAUUAAGUGGCCUUACUACAGAUGGAGCGCCAGCCAUGGUUGGCUCGAAAAAGGGGUUAACCGCAUUAGUGAAAAAAUCUAUGAUUUGUCUCAGUCUUGAUCCAAGUGAUUUAAUUGUAUGCAACUGCAUCAUGCAUCAAGAAAGUCUGUGUGCACAGUCCCUGAAGCUGAACAACAUAACAGAAACUGUAGUGUCGACCAUCAAUUUAAUCAAAAGCAAACAGCUGAACAACCGCCAGUUUAAGGAGCUAUAGAAUGAUCUUGAAUCGGAGUAUGGUGAUCCGGUUUACCACCGUGAGGUGCGAUGGUUGAGCCUUGGACGAAGUAUGAGGAUGAAGUAAAACAAUUCAUGGAGAUGAAGGGGAAUACUGUCGUGGAACUGAGUGAUGACAAGUGGAUGUGUGAUUUGGCCUUCAUGGUGGAAAUAACCAAGUAUCUGUCUAACUUGAACGCCAAGGGCCGAACCAGCUUCUAAGCUAUCUGCUGUCAAACGUGAAAUGGUUUGAAGCAAAAUUAAAGCUGUGGCAAGUCCAACUAGAAAGGGGUAACACAGUGCAUUUUCCUACUCUGCAAGGACAAGAGCCUGAGAUUAUGUUGGAAUAUGCCGGUGAGUGUGGAAAGCUCACGAAGGCAUUUUGGGAGCGGUUUAAGGAUGUGAAAGUAAACAACUGGAUUUGAACAUAUUUGCAACCCCAUUUAACGUCGAACCAGCGGAUUUGCCGGAUGGCCUACAACACAAAGUAAUUCAGCUGCAAAGCAAUGACGAGCUCAAAGCCAGGUGGGGUGUGUCACUUGAGUGGGUUGAGUCACUGACAUGGUCUUCCUGUCUGGGUUGGCGCCCCCCCUUGGGUUGUGCCGUGGCGGAGAUCUUUGUGGGCUAUACUCGGCCUUGUCUCAGGAUGGUAAGUUGGUGGUUGAAGAUAUCCCUCUAGUGGUGUGGGGGCUGUGCUUUGGCUAAGUGGGUGGGGUUAUAUCCUUCCUGUUUGGCCCUGUCCGGGGGUAUCGUCGGAUGGGGCCACAGUGUCUCCUGACCCCUCCUGUCUCAGCUUCCAGUAUUUAUGCUGCAGUAGUUUAUGUGUCGGGGGGCUAGGGCCAGUCUGCUAUAUCUGGAGUAUUUCUCCUGUCUUAUCCAGUGUCCUGGGUGAAUUUAAGUAUGCUCUCUCUAAUUCUCUCUUUCUUUCUCUCUUUCUUUCUUUCUCUCUCUCGGAGGACCUGAGCCCUAGGACCAUGCCUCAGGACUACCUGACAUGAUGACUCCUUGCUGUCCCCAGUCCACCUGGCCGUGUUGCUGCUCCAGUUUCAACUGUUCUGCCUGCGGCUAUGGAACCCUGACCUGUUCACCAGACGUGCUACGUGUCCCAGACCUGCUGUUUUCAACUCUCUAGAGACAGCAGGAGCGGUAGAGAUACUCUCAAUGAUCGGCUAUGAAAAGCCAACUGACAUUUACUCUUGAGGUGCUGAUUUGUUACACCCUCGACAACUACUGUGAUUAUUAUUAUUUGACCAUGCUGGUCAUUUAUGAACAUUUGAACAUCUUGGCCAUGUUCUGUUAUAAUCUCCACCCGGCACAGCCAGAAGAGAACUGGCCACCCCUCAUAGCCUGGUUCCUCUCUAGGUUUCUUCCUAGGUUUUGACCUUUCUAGGGAGUUUUUCCUAGCCACCGUGCUUCUACACCUGCAUUGCUUACUGUUUGGGGUUUUAGGCUGGGUUUCUGUACAGCACUUUGAGGUAUCAGCUGAUGUAAGUCGCUCUGGAUAAGAGCGUCUGCUAAAUGACUUAAAUGUAAAUGUAAAUGUAAAUGUAAGAAGGGCUAUAUAAAUAAAUUUGAUCUGAUUUGAUUUUAAUUAAAUGAGGAUUAGCAUUUUGCAACCAGGAGCAAACAUUUAUUGGGAACAGAAAUAUUUAAAGUGGAUGCUAUGAAAUUCAAUUUGACAUAUGGUAUGGCCACUCCUCCCCAUUUCUGUAAUCUGUCACAUUUAAAAUACAUUAGAUAUAAUUAUAUAGCCUGAUAUACAGCACCCCCUUUUGCCCUCAGAACAGCCUCACAAGGUGUCGAAAGCGUUCCACAGGGAUGUUGGCCCAUAUUGACUCCAAUGCGUCCCACAGUGUAAAGUUGGCUGGAAGUCCUUUUGGUGGUGGACCAUUUUUGAUACACACGGGAAACUGUUUAACGUAAAAAACAGUGCAAUAGUUGUUGACACACUCAAACCAGUGCGCCUGGCACCUACUACCAUACGCUGUUCAAAGGCACUUAAAAAUGUUGUCUUGCCCAUUCAUACUCUGAAUGGCGCACAUACACAAUACAUGUCUUAAUUGUCUCAAGGCUAAAAACGAUUCCCUGUCUCAUCUACACUGAUUGCAGUGGAUUUAAAAAGUGAUAUCAUUAAGGGAUCAUAGCUUUCAUCUGGAUUCACCUGGUCCAGUCUAUGUCAUGAAAGAGCAGGUGUUCCUAAUGUUUUGUACACUCAGUGUACAUUAUAUGGACGGACUUCAGAUAAGGCCUAUCUGUAAAAGGUGGUCAGGGGCAAUGGUCGGAUAAAUCAGUGGCAUAGCCAAGAAUUCGUUGGUGGGUGGGCCUGCAGAAACUUGGGAGGGGGAAAGCGACUAACUUCCAGAUAUUUUACAGAUUUUACCGGGGGCAAAGAGAAAAAUUUGCAAUUUUAUAGCUAAUCUCAUGCUAUUUUUACAAUUUUUGCCAUGAUGCUGAGAGAAAAUGUUACUGUUUUAAAGCAAAUUUCCUGCAAUUCUACAUAUUUUGCCAUGGGCAGAGAGAUAAAUGUGCAGUUUUAUAGCUUAUCGCAUGCUAUUCUACUGUCAUGCCCUGAUAUGAUUCACCAGUCCUUGUGCUUGCCUCCAUCCCCCUCCAGGUGUCGCUCAUCUUCCCCAUUAUCCCCUGGGUACUUAUACAUGUGUUCUCUGUUUGUCUGUUGCCAGUUCGUCUUGUUCGUCAAGUUAACCAAUGUUUUGUCUCAGCUUCUGCUUUUCCCCAGUCUCUCGUUUUCUCGCCCUCCUGGUUUUGACCCUUGUCUUUAACCCUUUUGACCCUUUGCCCCUACUCUGGAUUACCGACCUCUGCCUGACCUGACCCUGAGCCUGCCUGCCAUCCUGUACCCUUGCCCCACUACUCUGGAUGAUCGACCUCUGCCUGUCUUGACCUGUUGUUUGCCUGCCCCUGUUGCUGUGAUAAACAUUGUUACUUCAACGCAGUCUGCAUUUUGGUCUUACCUGAAACGUGAUAUCUGAGAGAAAAUGCUGCAUUUUUAAAGUGAAUUAAAGCUCAAAUAUAGGUGUGUUGACUGUGAUAAAG
RNAcentral lists this long non-coding RNA (3615 nucleotides) under Salmo salar (Atlantic salmon). Its description in RNAcentral is "lncRNA (ENSSSAG00000101768.1)". The stretch from base 2036 to 2089 matches the Rfam family "UnaL2 LINE 3' element". Lineage: Eukaryota; Metazoa; Chordata; Actinopteri; Salmoniformes; Salmonidae. The record is from RNAcentral.